UUAGAGCGCUCUCUCUCAGUCCCUCUCACUCUCUUCUCCUUCGGUCAAAUUCCGGUUGCCGGACUACCGUGGGACCGCCGGUCACCGUCUACGGUGAUCAGAAAAUUGAAAAAGUCCAUCUUUUUUGGCUUUUCGACUUCCUUGACUCAAAAAUUCCAUCUUUCAUCAGAGAUGAUGACCUCAACUCCCUCCAUGACGACAAAAAAAUAAAAAAAAAGUAAGAUCUUCCCCCGUUUUUACUAUUUUUGUUUGUUCUCUUUUGAAAAAAUAAAAAUAAAUAAAUAAAACAAAAUGGAAAGAAAAAAAUAAAAAGAC
This 315-nucleotide long non-coding RNA is filed under the name Gossypium raimondii (Peruvian cotton). Its description in RNAcentral is "long non-coding RNA (GRAI_LNC004396)". Lineage: Eukaryota; Viridiplantae; Streptophyta; Magnoliopsida; Malvales; Malvaceae. The record is from RNAcentral.